RNAcentral lists this long non-coding RNA (25896 nucleotides) under Hordeum vulgare. RNAcentral's name for it is "long non-coding RNA (HVUL_LNC018785)". The record is from RNAcentral. Lineage: Eukaryota; Viridiplantae; Streptophyta; Magnoliopsida; Poales; Poaceae.
UUCAUUUAAAGUAAAUUGCCAAUGCAAAUAACAAGCUCUCAAACAAGUAUAAGUGAAGCACGAUAGCACAAGUUUCUUUAAAAUUUCGAAGUCUUAAAAUUAUAUAAGCGAAGCAAGAGAGGAUUUAUUUAAAAUUUCAGAAACUAUCAAGAUAAUCGAAGUGAAGCGUGAGAGUGAAUUUCUACAAAAUAACAGCACCACCGUGCUCAAAGAGAUAUAAAUGAAGCACUUGAGCAAUUCCAUGGCUCAAGAAAUUGAAGUGAAGCAUAAAGAGCGAUUCUAAUAAAUCAUGGCAUAAUUUAGCUCUCUUAAAUGGGUGUGUCCAGCAAGGUUUAUUAUGGGAGGCUAACCAGAAACUAAAGCAAAGACACAAAUGACACAAAUCGUGAGUAAGAAUUAACCCAACUCGUAGCAACUACUCCUACUAGUGCCUAGAGACCGUAUCACGCGCUAAAACUUCUUGGGACCAGCUAAAAUCAACAUUUCUAGCUCAAGAACAGGGUCACCAAGGUAGCAAUAAUACGCGAAGGAUAAAGCACUAGAGCAAAAACUAAUUGGACCAAUGGAGGAGUCACUUACCAAGGAGUAAUUUCCCCAAAACGGUUCGAAGAAUGGUGCUUUGAGCAAGGAUAUCAAAAAUCACAGCCAAAUGAGCAAGAACACGGGUUUGAGCAGCGAAUUUUUUUUGCGAGGUGGAAGAAGAGGAUGGGACCUGGAAUGAGUGGAGGGGGUCCGUGUGGGCCCCACAAGCUUGGUAGCCGCCACCAGGGGGGCGGCAGCUACAAGGCUUGUGGCCCACUGGUGUGGCCCCCAGGCCAGCUCUCAGUCCCAGUAUUUUUCAAAUAUUCCAGAAAAAUCGUACUAUAUUUUCAGGGCCAUUGGAGAACUUUUAUUUUCGGGGUAUUUUUCUCCGAGACGCUAAAAUAGAAAACAGGAAAAACUAAACCAAAUCUAUCAUUUUUCUUCUAAGCAACUGAAAGUGACAACUUAAAACAGAGGUAUGUGACUCUUUGAUUCAUCCAUUUCAUGGUCAUCGAAAGAAAUCCGUCAAUGGGGUUGAUCAAACCCUCAUGACAAAACCUUCUCGAAUCGCAAAAGAGAACGGAGCAUUUUCGAAUAGCCACUAAGUCACCUCAAUGGGGAUAUGUAUCUCCCCAACAAGCAAAUCAUACUUCAUCUUGACACGAGGAAUAGGGCAUUCAAAGCUCCCAAUAAGAAUCGAUGAAGUCUUUUCGAUAGUAUUGAUGCAAUGUACUUGAUAUCGUUUCUUAGGAAAGUGCAUUGUAUGCUCAUUACCGUUGACAUGGAAAGUGACAUUGCCUUUGUUGCAAUCUACAACAGCCCCUGCGGUGUUUAAAAAGGGCCUUCCGAGGAUGACAGCCAUGGCAUCGUCCUCGGGAAUAUCCAAGAUAACAAAGUCUGUUAAGAUAGUGGUAUUAGCAACCACAACAGGCACAUCCUCGCAAAUGCUGAUAGGGAAAGCAGUUGAUUUGUCGGCCAUUUGCAGAGAAAUUUCAGUGGGUGUCAACUUAUCCAAUUCAAGUCUACGAUAAAGAGAGAGCGGCAUAACACUAACACCGGCUCCAAGGUCACAUAAGGCAGUUCUUACGUAGUUUCCUUUAAUUGAGCAAGGUAUAGUGGGCACUCUGGGAUCACCAAGUUUCUUAGGAGUUCCACCUUUGAAAGUGUAAUUGGCAAGCAGGGUGGAGAUCUCAAGAUCUGGUAUCUUCCGUUUAUUGGUUAUGAUAUCUUUCAUGCACUUGGCAUACGGAGACAUUUUGAGCAUAUCAAUUAACCGCAUCUGCAAAAAGACGGGUCUUAUCAUCUCAACGAAGCGCUCAAAAUCCUCAUCAUCCUUUUUCUUGGAUGGCUUAGGAGGAAAGGGCAUAGGUCUUUGAACCCAUCGUUGCCUUUCUUUACCAUGCUUCCUAGCAGUGAAGUCUUUCUUAUCGUAUCUCUUAGGUUGUGGGUUAUCAGGAUUAACCGUAGGUUCAAUCUCCACAUCCUCAUCAUUGCUAGGUUGAGCAUUAUUAUGAACAUCGCUGUCCAUAUUGUCACCAGGUUCAGGUCCAUCACCAGAUUUCUUGGCUUCUUGCAUAUCUUCGGGACUGAGGAAUAGAAUACCUGUUUUCUUAGGAGUUGGCUUAGGAGGCGGUUCGGGAAUAGUCCAAGCAUUAUCGUUGAUCAAGAUGUUAUUCAGUAGAAUCUCAGCUUGUUCUAUAGUUCGUUCCCUAAAAACACAACCGGCACAACUAUCUAGGUGGUCUCUAGAAGCAUCGGUAAGUCCGUUAUAGAAGAUAUCAAGUAUCUCGUUCUUCUUAAGUGGGUGGUCAAGCAAAGCAUUCUGUAGCUGAAUGAGCCUCCCCCAAGCUCGUGGGAGACUCUCUUCUUUGAGUUGAGCAAAGUUGUAUAUUUCCUGCAAGGCAGCUUGCUUCUUAUGGGCAGGGAAAUAUUUCUCACAGAAGAAAUAGACCAUUCCCUGGGGACUACUCACACAUCCAGGAGCAAGAGAAGUGAACCAAGCUUUAGUGUCAUCCUUUAGAGAGAAAGGAAACAUCUUAAGGAUAUAGUAGUAGCGGAUCUUCUCCUCACUAGUGAAAAGGGUGGCUAUAUCGUGUAGUUUGGUAAGAUGAGCUUCGACCGUCUCAGACUCAUAACCGUGGAAAGGAUCAGAUUCGACUAGAGAGAUUAUCUCAGGGUCGACAGAGAAUUCAUAAUCCUUAUCGGUGAUAAAGAUAGGUGAAGUGACAAACUUCGGGUCGUAUUUCAUCCUAGCUUUCAGAGAUUUUUCCUUGCACUUGAGAAGUAAUUUCUCAGUGUCAUAGGCAUUCUUACACGGUAGAAAAUCCUCAGCUAUCUCUCCCUCCAUAACAUAACCCUCAGGUAUAUCAGGAAAUUCAUAUCUAGGAGAGCUAGAUCUGGCAGGAGCAAAAGCAGGUUCUAUCUCAAUAGUAUCAGCAGUUUGAGUAGCAUCACGAUAUUGGCAGUAACUCUAGCAAUAUGAGCAUCAAGGAAUACCCCUAGUGGCACAUCAGGCAAAGUAGUAUCUCUAGCAGUAUCAAGCAUAGCAUCAUCAGGCAAAAUAGCAUCUCUAGCAUCAUCAGGCAAAGCAGUAUCACGCAUAGCAUCUCUAGCACUAUCAGGCAUAACAUCUCUAGCAGUAUCAGGCAUAGCAUCUCUAGCAGUACCAGGCAUAGCAUCAUAAGCAUCAUCAAGCACAUGCGACAUAUCAAGAUUUCUAGCAGGAGGUGAUGUCGCAAACUUACUCAUAACGGAAGGUGAAUCAAGUGCAGAGCUAGAUGGCAGUUCCUUACCUCCCCUCGUAGUUGAGGGCAAAACUUUGGUUUUUGGAUCUUUCAGAUUCUUCAUAGUGAUCAGCAGAUAUAAAUCCCAAGUGACUCAGAAAAUAUAGCAAUCGCUUCCCCGGCAACGGCGCCAGGAAAAUGUUGCUAGCAGUCCCCGACAACCGCACUAGAAGAAUGUUGUUGACGUGUUCCUGACUUGAUGCCUCCCCGGCAACGGAGUCAGAACUGCUCCCAGUUGCUCAACAAUUAGCAAUUGUCUUGGAAUGGCCCACCAGCGCGUGGGUUCGCGGCAGCUUUCGAGGGUAGAAUAUUCAACCCAAAUUUGGUGGUUCGCCGGACAGGAAGUGAGAGGAUACUCUCAAGUAUUAGCAGCUGAAUGUGUCAGAUUCAACCACAGCUGAAAGAUUAGUAUCUGCAAGAAAAGUAUUAGCAACAAAGUAGUAUGAUAACAACGGUGUCAGAAACGAUCUGUUGACCACAGACUAUUCCUAACAAUUGUAUCAAUGGCGCCAGAAGUUGCCCGUAGACGAGAAAUAUUCUUUCCCGUCAACGUCGUGCGAACAAGUAUUGUAGCAGGUAGCAGCAGUGUAACGAGUAGCAACAGUGGCAAGGAACAGCAGUAGCAAGUAACAGUAGCAAGUAGCAACAGUAGCAAGUAACAACAGCAACAAGUAACAGCAGAGCAAAACAAGUAACAACAGCAGUGGGACAAACUUGUAGGCAAUGGGUCGGUGAUUUGUUUGGAUGAUAUUCAUCAUGCAAUAGUUAUAAGAAGAAGAGAUAUGUGUCUAGCUCCCGUUCGUCAAUGUGAUGUAGGCAUGCAUUCCGUGUGUCGUCAUACGUGCUUAGGGAAAAGAACUUGCAUGACAUCUAUUGUCCAUCCCUCCCGUGGCAGCGGGGUCCAAAAGGAAACUACGGGAUAUUAAGGUUCUCCUUUUAAUAAAGAACCGGACCAACGCCUUAGCACUUGGUGAACACAUGAACUCCUCAAACUAUGGUCAUCACCGGGAGUGGUUCCGGUUAUUGUCACUCCGGGGUUGUCGGGUCGUAACACAUAGUAGGUAACUACAACUUGCAAGAUCGGAUCCAAAACACACAUAUAUUGGUAACAACAUAAUAACUUCAGAUCUAAAAUCAUGGCACUCGGGCCCUAGUGACAAGCAUUAAGCAUGGCAAAGUAGUAGCAACAUCAAUCUCAGAACAUAGUGGAUACUAGGGAUCAAUCCCCGUCAAAACUAACUCGAUUACAUGAUAGAUCUCAUCCUACUCAUCACCGCCCAGCGAUCCUACGAAUAGAUUACUCACGAACGAUGAAGAGCUUCAUGGAAUUGGAGAGGGAAGAAGGUUGAUGAUGACGAUGGCGACGAUUUCCCCUCUCCGGAGCCCAAAACGGACUCCAGAUCUGCCCUCCAGAUGAAGAGCGGGAUGUGGCGGCGCCUCCGUAUCGCAAACGCAACGAAAUCUUCUCUCUUUAUUUUUUCUGGGACGAAAGUGAAUUUAUAGAGCUGAGUUUGGGGGCGGCAGAGCCACGUGGGCCCCACAAGCUUGCUAGCUGCCACCAGGGGGUGGCGGUUACAGGGCAGAGGCUACAGGUCUUGUGGCCCACUGGCCGAUCCCCUCCGGUGGAUCUUUGCGCAGGUAUUUUUCAUAUUUUCGACUCCCACCUCCCACCUCCCACCGCGGCGAUCCAAUGGCGAUCUGGCGCUCUAGCUAGCGUUUCCUCCAUUCUCGCCGCUCCUCUGCUCAAGUGAACCCUCCCGACCCCCCUCACGUGGUCGUGCAUGGCUUGCAUGGGUGGCUCUACGUUGGAUCUGGAUUUUUCGCCUGGUUUGGCUUUCGCCGAUGAGGUUUAUCGUCACUCUGGUGUUACGGUGGUUUCUUUUGGUCGUCAUGUGUUCCGUCUUUCGACGGACACAGUCGCCGCAGCUCUGGAAUCAAUGAUUGGGGGAUCGGCUAUUCAGUUUCGUGUCUCUCAAGUGACAGACUCGGUUUUCUCCUUCAAAGUGUCCUGCAUGCAAGUCGGUUUUCAUAUUCUUGACUUACGCUCAUUCGAAUGCUCAAGUUUUAAGUGCUUAUUCCAUCUAUGGGGGCAUGGUGGUCCUAAUUGGCGUCGGGAAUUCGCUCUAUGGAAGAAGCAAUGUGAUGCUGAAUGGAUUAUUGUGAGUCCUUCUAAGAGGAGAGCCGCACUAGGUCUAAUGGCGAUGCAUUCCAGACCCCUAAAAUCUUCUCUUAAAUCUGGAUCUUCGGUUCGUAGGAAGCUCACUUUCGCAUCACUCCAGCAAUAUGAAGUUUGCAAGGGUUACAGAUGUCAUGUUUCCCACGAGGAGCUACUCACGCUUGAACAUGCUGGUUAUUCAGUGCCUUCUGCGGAACGUGUCAUCAUCUCGGCGCCACCGCCGGCUGAACUCCGGUGGACGACAGCCACGCCGCAUAUUACGUUUGGCACAGUUUCUCGCCAGGAUUCAUCCCCCGGAUCUUCCGGCGCUGAUUUUCAAAUUGCCAAAUUAAACGGAACUUCUUCCGUGCAACAAGGUGCUGCAACUGGUCCCGCCGAGAUUCAUGGUAUUUUGAAUUAUGAGAAUCAAUUUUCGGGGGACAGUUUGGAUUCUGGGCCGAUUUCCACGCUCAUUAAUGAGCCUGCUGAGGUUUCCACCUUUUCUCGGCCCGAACCUAAUCCUAGGAUGGAUAUUCCAUCCUCGCAGGAAGCCCAUCUGGCCUUUGAUGAACUCAUUAAUGGCAUGGUUGAGGAAAUCUUUUCUUGUUCGAUUUGCAACGCUCGGGGCCAUCUAGCUGCCAACGGCACGGCUUCGCCUGGAUUCGCUGACAGCACUAUGGGCCACGCACGAUCUAGAGGAGCAUCUUUUAUGCGUAAUAAUUGUAUUACUUGGAACUGUAAGAGUCCCACCACCUUCCCUGUCGCUGAUAUCUCGGGAACUGCUGAUACUCUUGGCGAAACCGCAACGCCUGCAGCACAGUUCCGUCCUGUCUCAUCGCCGUCGCAUCCUCGAACUCCCUCCGAGACGCCGCCUGCCACUCCGCCACCGCCUCCUGCAAUGGCGAACUUCGAGCUUGAUCCAGAGUUCUUCCUCCCGUCUGGCCACAACAUCAUCGACGGAGGCCCUGACCGGAUGCCUCGGACCUACACCACACCAGCGGUCCCCAUCACCCGACGUCAUGAGCGUUUCGUAAUCGCUGACGUCCACCCAGCGCCCCCGACUGACAACGUGAUCCAGGUACGGCAAGAAGUAGCUGCUCUUCUGCUUCACCGAGGGUUACAUGUUCGGUCUGCCGAGCCAUGGAUUGAGGGCGUUGGACUGUUUGAGCUCAGAGAUGCGGCGGAAAGCUAUGCUGCGGUCCACAUGGUGCCGCAGGAAGUUGCUCAUAACUCUAUGGUGCGCUUCCUGCGACAUGAUCAGGGAGUUGGUUUCCGCGGGCAAGAGGGUUUUCGCCAUGGCUGCCUCAUGAUUCUGGGGGUCCCCCUCGACUUCCGCAACACUGAAGAUCUGAGGGCUGCUGUCAACACCUUCGGCGAGUUCCACCAUUGGGUCAGUGAUGAUCCUCAUUUAUUUCGUUCCAUCAUGUUUGCUUCGUUCCCAGAUGACCGACUGGUCCCUCGCAGUAUCAACUUCUCUGAAUAUGUUGCUUGGGGGGCCAAGGUUUCCUGGUCUGCACCGGUAUAUAUCCUGGGGGCGGCGGCUGCCGAAAUACUGCCUAAUGACGAGGAUCCCAUGCCCCUCAAUGGCAAUCCUCACCCGCUCCCUGGUCAUCUUGUCCACGACAAUCUGCAAUUUGCUCUGCCUCCGUACCCUGCGCUGGGUUGGAAUGCGGUGCCACUAGCACCUGAAGAUCCAGUGGUUCCUGCUGUUGAUGCCGGUGGUUGGGGUCAGUCGCCGACAGCCGCUGAUGAAGGAGGAUGGGAACCUGAAGCGGCCCCGGAGGCACCUGUUGCUGAUCCUGUUCAGGAUCAAGAGUCCAUGGUGAUUGAUCAACCGAGUCCUUCCUCUUCGGACUUGGUUCAUGAGCUUGUGGACCUCGACUCUCAGCCGCAGGGUCACAUGAAGGCGGAACCUGCUGAUGAAGCACCACCGGCCCCUGGCCUGGAGGUGGUUGUGGCCAACCCUGUUGCCCCGGAUGCUGGCUUGGUACCGGCUGCCCAGGGUCAUGAUGCUGAGCCGGAGGAGGAGGUGCCUGCCAUGGAGGAGGCACAAGAGGACAAUCCUCUCGCAAUUGUCCUAUGCAAACCCCCUCACAUUCAAACUGACAACCUCUUUGUUUGGGAUGCAAGGGUUUUCUACGGGCCUCCUCUGCCGCCAAUUAUAUCCUGGGCGCGCACUUUUGAUGCUCUCAUGGGAGCUGCGACUUCUAUGCAUGUGCCUCGCCAACUGCAGAUGCCAAUUCUGGAGCCCAUUAUGAUCCCCAAGCGAUCAUGGUCGGCAGCUUUUGAUCGUGAUGCUCCAGCGCUACCAUCACUAGAGCCUGCUGGCGACGCUCUCUCAGUGGAGGAGGUAAUCCCUCUCAGUCCGUCUUCAUCUGCGGAGGACUUCACUUUUCAUUCUCCUGCCCCAACGAAGAAAGGGACCCGCAAGAAGGCCACUCCUGUCGUCGACUCCUCUGUCCGUCGAUGUACUCGCGGCUCCAUCAGGCGCGAUGGCUUCAAACCCAUCCUGCAGGAGCUGCUAGCGUAUGUCCCCAAGAAGAGGAAGCCCAAGGCCAAGCCAAUGCCCUCCCCAUCGCAGGAGACUGAUGAUGUGCAAGUACCUCCUGCCACUCCUAUUCCGGUGAUUCAGGAGGUUGGGCAGUCACUAGGCAUUGCCCCUGAGAAGCUUAUGGUGGAUCGACUUAUGGAAGAUCCUGCUGAUUCCGCGCCAUCGUCUGCUGAUGUUUAAUUCACCUAUGUUAAUUUGUUACUAUACUAGCUACAUGUACUGCGAGACUUCUGCAUGCUCUGUCUUUUGGUUAUCUGAACCUUGGUCGCAACGGCUAUUACAUAGCCCUACUUUUGCUCUAUAUAUAUUGUGCAAUGGAUAGUCGUUCUCCGAGAAGUUGGCGUGUGCUUUGUUGGAAUGUGCGUGGCCUAAAUUCGGACCAUAGGCAACGUGUGGUCCGUAACAAGAUUGAUGAGAGCCUAGCUGUUGUGGUGUGCUUGCAGGAAACCAAAAUGCAGUCAGUUGAGUUUUGUAUAGUCAAAUGUUCUUGUCCCAAACGAUUUGAUCAGUUCGCCAACUCUCCCUCCAGGGGCGCAUCAGGGUGGCUUAUCACCCUUUGGAACUCCUUCAUUCUUACUGGUCAGUUAGUUGAAUGCACUCCCAAUGGUUUGAUCAUCUCUUUUACCUCAAAUCACACUGGUGAAUCCUGGACUUUAGUGAAUAUCUAUGGUCCUUGUCAAGGUGAGGCCAGAGAUCUUUUUGUUAGCUGGCUAUAUAAUCUCCAUAUACCCACUGGGCUAAUUGGUUGCUUCUUGGAGAUUUUAAUUUCAUUAGAUCCCCUGAUAACAGAAACCUUCCUGGGGCUGAUGUAAAUGACAUGUUCAUCUUCGAUGAAAUUAUUGGGCAUCUGGGAUUGCUGGAACUUCCCAUUAAGGGCAGAUCUUUCACUUGGUCCAAUAUGCAAGAUUCCCCUCUUCUGGAGCAGCUUGACUGGUUUUUCACAUCAGCCAACUGGAUCUCCUCAUAUCCUCUUACACAAGUGUUACCCCUUGCCAAGACAGCUUCUGACCAUGUUCCUUGUGUGGUCACUGUCAACACUUCCAUCCCUAAGUGCAAUCUAUUCCAUUUUGAAAACUACUGGGUUGAAAUGGAGGGUUUCAUGGAAUGUGUUCAGCAAUCCUGGCUCAUUCCUUCAAGGAAAACCCACAUUACUGUUGUCAUUAUGGAUAAGAUGAAACAUCUUAGGCAGGCUCUGAAAAAGUGGCACAGAAAUCUAUCUCAGUUAAAAACUUUCAUCUCCAGAUGUAAUCAAGUUGUGUUGUGUUUGGAUGAGCUUGAGGAGUUGAGGUCACUUUUCAGACCAGAGGCUAACUUCAGAAAAAUUGUUAAAUUACAUUUGGAGCAUCUUUUGCAUCUACAGUGUUUAUACUGGAAAAAGAGAGCCACUAUCAGAUUUGUUAAAGUUGGUGAGGAAAACACCAAAUUCUUCCAUGCUAUGGCUACUGAGAGAUAUAGGAGGAAUUACAUUGCAUCUCUCAAGUUAAAUGAUGGUUCCCUCAUAUCUGAUCAUGAUCAAAUUGCUGCAUGCUUCUGUGCAUCUUUUCAGGCUAAAAUGGGAACUUCUCGUGGCAUUAACAUGGCAUUUGAUUUACCAUCCAUGCUUCAUAAGGUGGAGGGCCUAGAUAUUCUCACUGAAGCUUUUUCUAUGUCUGAAAUGGACAAGACUGUUUAAGAAAUGCCCAUUGACAAAGCUCCAGGUCCUGAUGGGUUCAAUGGUCUUUUUCUUCAAGAAAUGCUGGCACAUUAUUUCCCCUGAGUUUUAUCAACUUGCUGCUACUUUCCAUGCUGGCCAUGCUCAACUUGAGAACCUGAACUCAUCUUAUAUUACUCUGAUUCCCAAGAAGAGAUCACCUGAACAUGUGGGAGAUUACAGACCUAUAUCACUUAUUGGGAUGGGUCUCAAAUUUCUGUCCAAAAUGAUUGCUAACAGGCUACAGCUGCAGAUUGUGAAGUGUCUUCACAAGAAUCAGUAUGGUUUUAUCAAGUCUAGGACCAUUCAGGAUUGUGUUGGAUGGACUCUGGAGUACCUGCACCAAUUCCAUCAAUCCAAGAAACCUAUAGUCAUUCUCAAGCUGGAUUUUGAAAAGGCAUUUGACUCUGUGGAACAUGAGUUUAUUUUUCAGAUUCUCAAGCACAAAGGCUUCAAUGACAGAUGGAUACUUUGGGUCCAGCAGCUACUAACUUCUGGCUCAUCUUCAGUCCUGAUCAAUGGUGUGCCUGGCAAGAAGUUUAUGUGCAAGAAAGGUGUCAGGCAGGGAGAUCCCAUGUCCCCACUGCUUUUUGCCAUUGCUGCUGAUUUUUUACAGACUCUGGUUAAGCAACUGCUGGUGGAGGGUCUGAUUCAGCUGCCCAUACCUUGUCAUGAUAAGGAUUUCCCCAUAUUGCAAUAUGCUGAUGAUACACUUAUCAUCCUACCUGCUGAUAAACCCCAGUUGUUGCAGUUCAAGAAAAUGCUCCUACUUUUCUCCCAGUCCAGUGGAUUACAGGUGAAUUAUCACAAAUCUGCCCUUCUACCUGUUAACACUCCUCCACAGCAACUCCAGGAUCUGGCUGACUCCCUUGGCUGCAAAGUGGGAUCUUUGCCCUUCACAUACCUUGGCCUUCCAGUUGGGACAACUAAACCAAGAAUCAUUGAUCUCAUGCCACUGGUUGAUAACAUGGAAAGAAGACUUAGUGCUAGUUCAUCUUUUCUAGCUCAGGGGGGAAGGCUACAGUAUUUAAACUCAACACUGUCUUCUGUGCCUAUCUUCUUUCUAUGCAAUCUGGAUAUCCCACCAGGCAUACUGAAGCAGCUUGAAAGAAUUCAAAGGCAAUGUCUAUGGAGAAGAAAUGGGCAAGAUCAUGCACCCCCUCUUGGUGCCUGGCAUCUGGUGUGCAGACCUAAAAAUAAAGGGGGGUUAGGAAUUAUUAACCUAGCAAUCCAGAAUGAAGUACUCCUUCUCAAGCAUGUUGAUAAAUUUCUAAAUCUUGCUGAUAUCCCAUGGGUUCACUUGAUUUGGAACACUUACUAUCAUGACACUGUACCUCAGGGAACUGCCCUUUGUGGUUCUUUUUGGUGGAAGGAUAUCUGUAAACGGCUGGACGAAUUCAGAUCAGUUACAUAUGUUCAGCCUAACAAGGGUGAUUCCUUCCUGUUUUGGUCUGACUCCUGGUUGGUUGGAAACUCCAUUAGGCCACUAGCAGCCAAAUUCCAAAGACUGUUUUCUUUUGUGGCUGAUCCUUUCUGCAUAGCGCAAGAGGUCUUUACAGCCUUUUCUGAUGACAGCAUGCUCUCUAUGUUCCACUUGCCACUGUCUGCUCAAGCUUACCAGGAGCUGCUUUCAGUUCAAUCUUUGCUUCAAGACCUGGAUCUUGAUCAUCAGGCCUCUGACAAAUGGGUAUGGGGAAAAGAUGCUAAGGCAUACACAGCCAAGAGAUACUAUGCUCACAUUCACAGCAGUAUUACACCAAACCCUUUACUCAACUGGAUCUGGAAAAGUUGUUGUACCAUGAGGAUUAAGAUGUUUGCCUGGAUGCUCAUCAUGGACAGGCUUAACACUCAAGACAUGCUUGAACGGCGACACUAGAAUGUUUCUGACUCCAAUCUCUGUGUUCUAUGUCAUGCUCGAGUCAAGGAAGACAGAGAUCACUUAUUCUUCACCUGUCUUUUCAGUACCAGGGUCUGGAAUUACCUGCAGAUCACAUGGCAGGGUCCAUCCAUGUGGAGUGCUACUGUUGCUGCUGAAAGAGACUUCCAUAACCUCUUCUUUGCUGAGGUGGUCUGCACUACAUGCUGGAACAUCUGGACUAUCAGAAAUGCAAAGGUCUUCAACCAGGUGCAACCAAAGUUCAGAAAAUGGAGAUCUGGCUUCAUUCAUGACAUUUCCAUGUUAGCUCAUAGAAUUAAGCCUAGUUUCAGGGAUGAUCUCCUUAAAUGGGUUUCCUUUUUGCCUCCUUGAGGUUUGUAGCCUUAGCUCCUCCCCCCUUUGUACAUUCUAAUUUCUUCUUGUACAUACUGCUCUUAUAUAUGGGAAUAAAAGAAAAAAGGCUGUGGGGGGUUUUCCNNNNNNNNNNNNNNNNNNNNNNNNNNNNNNNNNNNNNNNNNNNNNNNNNNNNNNNNNNNNNNNNNNNNNNNNNNNNNNNNNNNNNNNNNNNNNNNNNNNNNNNNNNNNNNNNNNNNNNNNNNNNNNNNNNNNNNNNNNNNNNNNNNNNNNNNNNNNNNNNNNNNNNNNNNNNNNNNNNNNNNNNNNNNNNNNNNNNNNNNNNNNNNNNNNNNNNNNNNNNNNGACGUUCCGAGAACUUUCGUUUCUGCACAAAAACAACACCAAGGAAAUUCUGCUGAAAACAACGUCAGUCCAGGUUAGUUCCAUUCAAAUCAUGCAAAUUAGAGUCCAAAACAAGGGCAAAAGAGUUUGGAAAAGUAGAUACGAUGGAGAUGUAUCACAUGGCUGAAUCAGCUGGCACCUUCAAGCAUAUAUUGUUGGGCACAUCUGGCUCAAGUGUUCGACAAGACCUUUGAGGGCACUUGCAAGCAUCCUGCUGGCCUUUCUGAGUUACAACAGUGCGUGCAGAAGCCGAGUGAAUCCUUGCACGAUUACAUCCAGCGCUGGACCACUCUUCACCACACAGUGGAGAAUGUUACCGAGCACCAAGCAGUCUGCGCCAUCAAGGCAGGUGUCAGGUAUCGAGAGCUAUAUCUGAAGUUUGGUCACUCGGGUGUAAUGUCAAUGAGUAAAAUGAUAGAGAUAGCCACCCAUUAUGCAAACAGGGAAGAAGAAGACUGCCUCCGUAGCGGCAAGGGUAAAGCAGUCGACAACAUUGACGCUAAUUCCAAUCGGAAGCAGAAGCGGCAGGUUGACGCUAAUGCAACCCCAGCAGAAGCGGCCGCUCUGGCGGCAGGAAAAUUUAAGGGAAAGUCCAAGGCACGAUCCCCCCCCCCCAAGAAGUCCAAGAUGCAGUCAGAUGUUUUGGAUCAGCCAUGUGUUCUUCACACGAAGAAAGAUGAUGAAGGAAACCUGAUAUUGCCAAAGCAUACCACUCGACAGUGCCGGUUGUUGGUCCAAGAGUUCAAGGACCAGUUGGGUGGAAAAUAACUUGAAGAAGAAGAUAAUGUGGAGAAGGAUGACUUCCCCAAGGUCAAUGCAACUCUGAUUAUUUUUGCUGACGUAGAGAGCAAACGUCGACUGAAAAUCAUCAACACGGAGGUCAACAUCGUAGUACCUACAACCCAACAUACCUGAAGUGGUCGCAAACUCCCAUCACAUUUGAUCAGUCGGACCAUCGAGUUUUUGUUCCAACUCCAGGUCGCUAGGCUCUGGUGGUCGACCCAGUUGUCGAAGGUGUUCGGCCUCGCAAAGUCUUGAUGGGUCGAGGGAGUGGACUCAAUAUCCUAUAUGCAGGAACUCUCAAGGGGAUGGGCAUUCCGAUGUCUCAACUUAGCGAGAGCUCCAUGUCUUUUCGUGGAGUUAUCCCAGGGAAGAAGGCAAAGUCACUCGGCCAAAUCGGGCUAGAUGUUCUUUUCGGCUAUGACAGAAAUUUCCGCAAAGAGAAGCUGACGUUUGAGGUGGUGGACUUAUAGAGUGCAUACCAUGCUAUUCUAGGUCGUCCUUCUUAUACAUGUUUCAUGGCGUGACAAUUUUAUGUUUACUUGAAGAUGAAGAUGCCAGACCCUAAAGGAGUCAUCACUGUUUCCGGCAAUCGGCAGAGAGUUGAAGAGUGUUUGCAACAAGGUUCAAAGAUUGCAGAUUAGCAGAUGUUUGCGGGAAAGUUGGAUGAGUACCGGAGGGUUGCCGACCCAGCUGACCUAAUGCGCUCUAAGAAGCCUGCUUUUGAGUCCGCUUUUGAGUCGGCAGGGGAGGUCAAGCCAGUGAACAUCCAUCCGACUGAUCCCAAUGCAGCUCCAACCACCAUAUCCAUGACACUGGACAGCAAAUAGGAAACCGAGCUCACCCAGUUCCUCCAUGAGAACUGGGACAUCUUUGCAUGGAAGCUUGCUGACAUGCCGGGUGUACCAAGGGAGCUGGCUGAGCACCAUUUGCGAGUGGAUCCAAAGGCGAAGCCGGUCAGGGAGCGCAGGCGAAGAUCUACAUCAGAGAAGAGGAAAGCAAUCGGCGAGGAGGUGGCGCGACUCUUGUAGGCCAAAUUCAUUCGCGAUAUUUACCACUCCGAGUGGCACUCGAAUGUUGUCAUGGUACCCAAGAAGGACAAAUACCUUCGCAUGUGUAUCAACUUCAAAAACGUUAAUAAGGCCUGUCCAUAAGACCACUUCCCGCUGCCCUGCAUUGAUCAUAUUGCCGAUUCAACUGCGGGGUGCGAGCGUUUGUCUUUUAUGGAUGCUUACUAAUGUUACCAUCACAUCUAUCUGUUUGGCCCAGCUGAAAUAAAAACAGCCUUGAUCACCCUUUCGGGUGUUUCUGUUACAUCACUAUGCCUUUCGGUCUGAAGAAUGCGGGUGCAACCUUCAUGCGCAUGAUCCAGAAGUGUUUGCUCGAACAGAUCAGUCGGAAUGUUGAAGCGUAUAUGGAUGAUAUUGUUGUCAAGUCACACAAAGGUUCUGUCGUGGUUUUCUCACGGCAGAUGUCCUAGUGAAAGGACUUAAUGAUGGAGCCAUCGCACCUUGGUGGCGACUCAAAGGGGUUGAGUGGAAGCGGGACUCAGAUUUACCCAGGUUCGGUCCCUCGUGAGGAGGUAAAAGCCUAUGUCCUGCUUUGUGUUGUAUUGAUGAGGUUUCGGUUACAAGGAGGGCGUAACUCGCCUGACCUAGCUCUCGAUGAUUUCUGACCUCCCUCUCCUUUCCAGGGACUCGCCUUUAUAUACAGGUCGAAGCCCUGGGGUUUACCAGAGUCCAUGCCUUAAUACAAAGCGUGAUUCUUUCUAUCUCUAAGUCGUCGUGCUUUCCAAGACUGGAAACCUCCUCGACGACUUAUCCUCUACGUAGAUAUGGAACCGCCAUCCAGCUCCUGGGCCUUCUGGGCCAAAGCUUGCUUCGCCAAAGGAUGAGUCGCCCACUUAGUGACCCGGCCCAACUAGGGCGGGUCACACCGCAGGUAAUAUCCCCAACAUUAGGCCCCAGAUUGACUUGAACCUAUUCAUGCCAUUAAACUUUUAUCCAGUUUAGGAGCGACUCAUUCCACUCCUUUCAUGGAUCUUACGCUUAAGUCGCCAUUCCUCAUGAAAACACCUAAGCUGCCGAACCGUUUCCGAUGACAUCACCUUAUCCCUUUAAUUUCGGAAGGCGAUGACGCAAUGUCCAACGGAUCCCGCGGCACAAAUACCCCGAAAAUCUUGGCGCCAUAAUUGCAAAUCUUUAACUUGUCUUUUCGGUUCCCCCGCGAGGCACCUCGAUUCCAGCACCCGACCCAUUAAAUAGGCUCAGGAAAGGGAGUACUCAUUUCGUCUGUCCCUUCUUCCUCGCGACCACGCGAAGAACUCCGUCGCCGCCCGAGGAGCUCCGUCGCCGCCCGAAGAACUCCGUCACUGGCCGUCGCGUCCGACAGAUCUCCGAACCAAACGAGGACGCCAUCCUUACCGCGGGUCCCCCACAGUUGCUUUUGAACGCCAUUAAUAGGUUAGUCCUUCGCCAUUAUAAACAGAUCUCAACUCCUCGGUGUUCGUCAUUCGCUGCUUCUUAGAACUCCUCGAACGCCUCUUUGCAUGCCAAUUGAUUCAUAGCGGUAAUAACCAUGAUAGUACUGGCCGUAUUCCCAGUCAAUCAGAUCUUGUUUGAAGAACCAAGAAGAUUUCGGUCAAAUCACCCUUGCCGUAGUUACUUUUAGCCAUGGCCUGUUUCACCUUAUCCACGCCUUCUUUCCGUUCAUUUUAACUUUGUUCGUAGAUCUAUAUCUCUGUGCUUGCCGCGUAGAAACUUGUUUGUAGAUCCACACUUCACCGCUUGUCGUGUAGAAAUUUAUUUGCAGUUCCACACCUCACUGCUUGCCAUUGAAUGCCCUGGGAUACCUCCUUUGGGUAACAAGAAAUUCUUAAAUCGCCCUCGUGCCCAAACCUGGUCCCUUAUUGGCGAGUUAAUAGAUUCUCUGAGCCACUCGACAAGCAUUUUGGCGGGUUAACUUACCCAUGACCUUUUCCUCUGUAGCUAUGGGUACCGUCUUCAAGGCCGACUGGCUCCCGACCAAAAUCGACGACACCUUCCUCGAGCAGUGCGUAAAGACAGGGAACCUUGACCCGAAGGAAGUCAUUGGAUGGCGAUCUGGACUAGGCGACGAAAUUCCCAACCCGGCCGAAGAGGAAAUACUUGUUUUUGCUGACAACCUCGAACGAGGAUUUAAGCCGCCAGGGUCAAAGUUCCUCAGAGAUGCUAUGUUUUUCAUGAACGUCCGCCUCAAAGACCAGGGCCCCAAAUCGAUCAGCAACAUGUGCCAAUUACAGGUAUUCUGUGAAGCUUACCUACGAAUGGAACCGUCAGUCACUUUAUUUUGGUACUUCUUCCACCUGAAUCGCCAGACCGAGUUCUCCAAUGGCCCUNNNNNNNNNNNNNNNNNNNNNNNNNNNNNNNNNNNNNNNNNNNNNNNNNNNNNNNNNNNNNNNNNNNNNNNNNNNNNNNNNNNNNNNNNNNNNNNNNNNNNNNNNNNNNNNNNNNNNNNNNNNNNNNNNNNNNNNNNNNNNNNNNNNNNNNNNGUUCUCCAAUGGCCCUAGCUUAGAACUUGGAGGGGUUAAUGUUCAACGACGCAGGGACAUUCCAUUCCCAUCACUCGCCAUGCCCAGUAACCCCAAAGGCUGGGCCGAGUCUUGGUUUUAUUGCCGGGAAACUUCUCCUCCGGGUGAAAACAAAAUCCUAGGCUACAUGAAGGAGCGUCUGCCCACAAACUUCUAACUUCUGGACAAGCUCACCGAAGAAGAUGAAUCGGAUUUCAUUCCAGUGAUAUCCGAGUUAGGAUCUUUAACAAACAAUGGUCUUACUGGAGUUGAUCUGAUCUGCUGCUGAGUGGAAUGGCGCGUCCUUCCCUUGAGUCGCCGAGACGGCUUGAUGUGCGAGUUUGAUGGUACUUUGAACCAUCCCCAAUUCUACUUCCACACAGCACUCACAGAGGAAGACAUUAUGAGCCUCAUCAAGAAGCAAACCGGUGAGCCUUUGGCCAAGUGUAGCCAAAUAGGGCUUAGGCCAUUUUGCAAGAUUAACCCGGCUCCUAAGGUAAAUAAUUUGACCCACCCUUGGUUCANNNNNNNNNNNNNNNNNNNNNNNNNNNNNNNNNNNNNNNNNNNNNNNNNNNNNNNNNNNNNNNNNNNNNNNNNNNNNNNNNNNNNNNNNNNNNNNNNNNNNNNNNNNNNNNNNNNNNNNNNNNNNNNNNNNNNNNNNNNNNNNNNNNNNNNNNNNNNNNNNNNNNNUUCCGACUUACUCGUAUUCUGACUUGCAUAAUGAAAAUUCCACCUCAGAAGGGCGACCGAUUCUGGUCACAAAGGCCGAAGAAGAUUGCCCUGAAGCAAACCAAACCGCCUCCAAAAAACAAGUCCAAGGGUAAAAACCAAACCGUUGUUGCCGAAUCGUCGGAUGUGGAUGAAUCCCAAGUCGGCGAAGCGUCUUCAGAGGUAAAAUGUUAUCCUUUUUGUCUUGACGCCCUUUUACUCUAAUUUGUGCUUAUAUCUCUGCAUUUCCAUGUAUAGAAUGAUGAUAACGAAAGCCAGGAUGACGCCGUAGAGGUAAUUUCCAUUUCUUCCGACUCAACUUCUCCUUCGCCUAAGCCGGCCAGGCGAGUUUGUGGGAAAGUUCCCAUGUCUCACCCGAAUGCUUGUCUGGACCCUAAUUUCCUCUUGAAGAAGGCGCAACACACUUCCUUUCGGAAAACUUGAAGACACUCAGUGGAUUUGAUGUCCGUGUUACCAGUAAAAACCCCUACCAAGAAACGGUGAAAUGAGGUACCCUCUAUCAAUUUCUACCUUCGUUUUCUUUUGGAUCAAACUUGUAACUCGCUCAUAUUUUGAGAUAUUACUUUUGCAGACUUCUCCCCCUUCAUCGGGCGACUCAGUGAUGUCGGCCCUUCCGCCAAUGAUUCACAUACAAGGGUAAAUCCUUAUAAUACUUAUGUCUUUCCUGAUGAUAAUGAUGCUUGCUUUAAACAUGACCCUCUUUUUCUUAGAGCGCAAGCAAAGAAGAGGAAAACCGGCGGCUCAACUUCCACUCAUGCGCCAGAGCUUAAAGAAGAUCCAGCACCGGCUCGUGUUGACCCGGCAAAAGAUAUACCUGAUGACCGAAUUGACCUUCCAAGUUCUCCCAAGAAAGGCAUGAAAACAACCAACCCGCCAAGUCCGUUGAAGGUGGCCGAAGAUCCUGAUAUUGUGGUCAUUACUGGUACUGGCUUCUCUAAGCCGGCUUCGGCAAUCUUAUCGAAGCAUGUAUCAACAUUGUCCCAUCCUUCCACCAUACAUGAGAUCCCCAAGGCCAAACUUCCUCAAUAUGAAAAACUAGAGUUUGAUGAACUCUGCUUCGGCUUCGCAAAUCGCGUGGAAACAAGUUAUGAAAUGGAGAAGAACCUGCUGCAUAUGAUGAAGAAUAAACAUGAGGUACGCCUUAAUGCAUACCCUCCUCAUUAGCCCCGAAGGGCCGGGUCAUCUUUUGAAUGAUGAGCCGGGUCUUGAUGUAGAAAAAAUCUUCGACCUGUAACCCCCAAGGGCCGGGUCAUCUUUUGAAAGAUGAGUCGGGUCUUGAUGUAGAAAAAAUCUUUCGACCUGUAACCCCCAAGGGCCGGGUCAUGUUUUGAAAGAUGAGCUGGGUCUUGAUGUAGAAAAAAUCUUUCGACCUGUAACACCCAAGGGUCGGGUCAUCUUUUGAAAGAUGAGCCGGGUCUUGACUUAGAAAAAAUCUUUCGACCUAUAACCCCCAAGGGCCGGGUCAUCUUAUUGAAAGAUGAGACGGGUCUUGCUCGUGGUAUAAUUUUGUAUGUUUAAAAAAUUAUACGUUAGCCCCCAAGUGUCAGGGAUGUUGCUUGCAACAAUUCUGUUACUUGUCCCUCCCAAAUAUGUUGACAGGAAUCUAUGGCCCAAGCCGAGUCGAUGUUGGGCGACUUAAAGAAAAGUUUAGCCGACCAGCAAGAAGCUCGGGCUCAAGCAGAAGAAAAAUACCAGGCGAUCUUAGCUGAUAUGGAAAAGCUGAAAGCCGCCAACAAAAAAUCUCAAGCUGAUCAAGCCACCGCGCUAAAGCGAGCUGAAACGGCUGAAACAAAACUAGGAGCCGUGCAACAAGAGCUGGCCGGUUUAAAGAAACAUAUUUCCAGCAUGACACAGGCCAUCUUCGGUAAGAAGGAAUUCUUUGUUUCGUAUCUCUGAAAGAAAAUAUUAUUGUGAAAAAAACAAAGUACUAACUAUCAUUGUCUUUCUCACGCAGGCCCGAGAGCUGCCAACCUUCAUGACGACUGCAUCUUGAAGUUAAAGGCGAUUUACACACUGACUGAGCAGUUGUAUACUGGGAGCAUGCUGACCAUGAAGGCAGUGAUAGGCACCAAGGAACCAAUCACAUCAAUCAAAAAGAUGCUUGGCUGCUUAUCCACCCUUCCGCCUCAGAUAGGUGAGCUAACCCGAUCAGUCGCCCGGAAGGGGGUGCUGACUACCUUGAGUCGGUGUUUGGCGUAUGCUCCAGAACUGAAGCCCGAAGAGUUAGCAGUAGGCUUCCCACAGCUCAAGGAUGACGAGACGGAGUUUACUCAAGAUGAUUAUCAUCGCGUCAUCAAGGAAUCACGCUUGGCGGCGACUCAGCUAGCAGCAAGCUUGGAUUUAUCAAAGUAUCAAGCCGCUUAUGAUGACAAAAACAAGAAAGUAAACCCGCCUGCAUUUGUGACAACCAGCUUAACUCCUCGUCGGCCCAAGAACCCUUUUGAUUUGGAGUCGAAUCUCUCGACAUUCUUGAACGAUGAAGACGAAUUUGCCGCUCUAUCCAAGUGUAAUUGGGUACUGGGCGAUUUACAAAUUCAAGUCGGCCAGAGCUCGGGGAAAGCUGACUCGGAGGCAUGAGCAGAAUAGACCCUACCGAUUUGGCCAUCUGAGCCAUGUAAUAGGUCAUUGUAGAAAACAAUCCUUUGCUUAUGUCUGUUGUGGAACUCUUUUGUGACCUUUGAAAAAACCUUGUGCCGCCCUUGGGGUGCCAUGAUGCUUGACCCGCCAUGUCAGUAAAGAUUCGAUCACCAACCUGUUUGGCUAGCAAAAGCAUAUAUCAAACCAUCUCAAUGAGUAAUGGAUGAUGAUAAAUAAUAACCGACUCAAGGUGUCUUGGCGAAUGGUAUGAAGAAAACCGGCUCAACGAGACACGAUGAGUCUCAAAAAUCUAUGAAACCUUGUGGAAGUGCCAGGAAGGUGAUACUAAGAAUUUCGUCCGCUCGUUCAAGUUGCGACAGGAUAGGACGAGUUAGAAAAACUCAAGUGCUACGCAAGGGAGACUUUUUGUAUAAAAAAGCUCAAGUAUUUAGACCGGCUGAUCAGGCGCGAGUCAAGCUUUGGUGAAGUAGGUUCAAUGAACCAAUGGUUUCUCUAUUUUCCAUGUGGGGCGCUAGCCGGUACCAUGCAUGUUUUAACCAAGGUGAGUUCAGGGUCCAAAUAGCGGAUUGACUCGCCAAGAGUUCAUGGGUCCAUAUGGCGAUUUGGCCAACACACAGUCCAGUAUAACCAUUUGUAGUGCGGUAAUUUUUCACAAGCCAAAUGGGUAGUUAGGCUGAUCUCAGUGAGAGGAAACCCCCAUGUGACCUAUGAUUAGGGGAAAGACCAGUCAUAGUAUUGUAGAAGCGUAUACGCUCUUACCACAAAACCACUUGGGAGCUGAUAGCCCCCAAGUAAGCCGGCCUAAUCCUCAGAAUCAUAUAAGGCGCCUAUGUUUGAAUCGUGCGCUUGUAGCAACUUGAUCCUCUUUGGCUUAUCGAUACCCGUGUUGUAAUAUGUGCAGCAUGGCGACUUAUGCUCUCUAGUAUUGAUAGCCUCCAUGCUUGGGCGACUUGUCGAAGAACAAUAAAGAUCCAUGCUUUCAAGAAGAUGAAGUGGCAGGAAAACCCAAAAUUCGUGGGUAUCGACUUUAUUACUUUAUAUAAACGAAGGACUUACAAUUUCCAAAGAUGGGAGAGAAACGAAAAAGGGGAGCCAAUAGCUCAAGUGUAGUAAGGCCGCAGAUGGGCUAUGUUCCAGGGGCGAGUUGACUCAGCCUCUGUGGUUGGCCGAUCAGGCCGAAGAUCCACCAAAUAGUAUGACCCGUUGCGAAGAUUUUUGCUGACGACAAACGGUCCUUCCCAUGGAAAGUGACAACUUAUGUAUGCCAGUGCAAUCUUGGAUCAACCGGAGCACUAAGUCUCCCUCCUGAAAAGCUCGCCUAUUGACCUCGCGGCUAUGAUAACGCCGCAAGUCUUGCUGAUAGAUAGCCGAUCGGGAGGCAACCAAAUCGCGUGCUUACUCCAAAGCAUCCAAAGAAUCUUGAUGUGCCAACUCAUUAUCUUGCUCCACAUAAGCGGCGACUCAGGGAGAGUCAUGCCUAACGUCAUUGGGAAGAAUGGCUUCUGCUCCGUACACCAAGAAGACAGGAGUAAAAACCGUAGAACGAUUCAGGGUGGUUCAAAUGCUCCAUAAUACCGAAGGCAACUCCUCAACCCAACACCCUGGGGUGCGUUCCAGGGGAACCAUAAGUCGGGGUUUGAUUCCCCGCAGCACUUCCUGACUCUCCCGUUCUGCCUGCCAUUAGAUUGUGGAUGAGCAACCGCAGACACAUCAAGCCGGAUAUGCUCCCGGUAGCAAAACUCCUACAUUGCCCCUUGUGAUAAGUCGGUACCGUUAUCAGUGAUAAUGUUGUGUGGGUAUCCAAACCGGAAUAUCAACUUUUUCAAGAAUUUGACGGCCGUUUCCGCGUCACAGCUGCCAACAGGCUCUGUUUCGAUCCACUUGGUGAAUUUAUCGACCGCCACCAGUAGAUGAGUCUUUUUAUUGGAUGGCAUCUUAAAGGGACCAACCAUAUGGCGAUUUGACGAUGGGUCCGGUCGAGGACUUCGGGAUCCAUCGCCAGCGACAGAUCUCCGAGGCGGCCUUCAUGCAGGGACUGGAUUGAAUAUGUGUCGGCCAUGGAUGACUCGUCGUCAGAGUUGACUGGUGUGGCCUCCCGAGUCGCCGACCACUCUGGCUCAUCAGAUCCCUACGUGAAGCCGACGAAGACUGGGCGCGUCAGUCUUUGUGGCGCGACGGGACGGACAUACCUCGCCGGCUCGACGGUGUCGGUGAAGAUGUCCGGCUCAGGCAUGGGUGCUCCGACCAUGCCGAUGAAGAUGUUGACCUUGCCGAAGGGGACUCUGUAGCCGGAUUCGAUCGAAUCGGCCCCGGGUCUUGAUACCUCUCCAUCGUAUCUACUUUUUGAAACUCUUUUGCCCUUGUUUUGGACUCUAAUUUGCAUGAUUUGAAUGGAACUAACCCGGACUGACGCUGUUUUCAGCAGAAUUGUCAUGGUGUUGUUUUUGUGCAGAAAUGAAAGUUCUCGGAACGUCCUGAAAAUUUAUGGAGAAUGUUUUUGGAAAAUAUGAAAAAUACUUGCGCAAAGAUCCACGGGAGGGGAUGGGCCAGUGGGCCACAAGCCUUGUUGCCGCGGCCACCCCCCCUGGCCGCGGCAAGCAAGCUUGUGGGGCCCACGUGGCUCUGCCGCCCCCAACUCCAGCUCUAUAAAUUCACUUUCGCCUAGAAAAAAAUCAGAAGAGAAGAUUUCGUCGCGUUUGCGAUACGGAGGCGCCGCCACAUCCUGUUUUUCAUCUGGAGGGCAGAUCUGGAGUCCGUUUUGGGCUCCGAAGAGGGGAAAUCGUCGCCAUCGUCAUCAUCAACCUUCUUCCCUCUCCAAUUCUAUGAAGCUCUUCAUCGUUCGUGAGUAAUCUAUUCGUAGGCUUGCUGGGCGGUGAUGAGUAGGUUGAGAUCUAUCAUGUAAUCGAGUUAGUUUUGACGGGGAUUUAUCCCUAGUAUCCACUAUGUUCUGAGAUUGAUGUUGCUACUACUUUGCCAUGCUUAAUGGUUGUCACUAGGGCCCGAGUGCCAUGAUUUCAGAUCUGACAUUAUUAUGUUGUCACCAAUAUAUGUGUGUUUUAGAUCUGAUCUAGAAAGUUGUAGUUACCUACUAUGUGUUAUGACCCAACAACCCCGGAGUGACAAUAACCGGAACCACUCCCUGUGAUGACCAUACUUUGAGGAGUUCAUGUGUUCACCAAGUGCUAAUGCGUUGUUCUGGUUCAUUAUUAAAAGGAGAACCUUAAUAUCAUGUAGUAUCCUUUUGGACUCCGCUGCCACGGGAGGGAUGGACAAUAGAUGUCAUGCAAGUUCUUUUCCCUAAGCACGUAUGACUACACUCGGAAUGCAUGCCUACAUCACAUUGACGAACGGGAGCUAGCCACAUAUCUCUCCAUGUUAUAACUGUUGCAUGAUGAAUAUCAUCCAAACGAAUCACCGACCCAUUGCCUACGAGUUUGUCCCACUGCUGCUGUUACUUGUUUUGCUCUGCUGCUGUUACUACUAUCGCUUGCUACUGCUACUGCUGCUACUUGCUACUGUUGCUACUUUCUACUGCUGUCACUACUGCUGUUCCUUGCUAUUGCUGUUACUCGUUACACUGCUGCUACCAGCUACAAUUCUGGUUCGCUGGUGUUGACGGGAAAAGAUAAUUUCCGUCAACGGGCAACUUCUGGCGCCAUUGAUACGAGAGUUAGGAAUAGUCUGCCGUCAACAGAUCGUUUCUGACACCGUUGUUAUCAUCCUACUUUGUUGCUGAUACUUUGCUUGCAGAUACUAAUCUUUCAGGUGUGGUUGAAUCUGACACAUUCAACUGCUAAUACUCGAGAGUAUUCUCUCACCUCCUGACUGGCGUACCAACAAAUUUGGGUCGAAUACUUUACCUUUGAAAACUGCCGCGAACCCACGCGCUGGUGGGCCAUUACAAGUCAAUUGCUAAUUGUUGAGCAACUGGGAGCAGUUCUGGCUCUGUUGUCUCGAAGGCAUCAAGUGAGGGACUCGUCAACAACAUUCUUCUAGUGUCGUUGCCGGGGACUGCCCUUAGCAGGUCUCCACAGCGAGUUGUCGAUUUAGUACUUUCCGCGGCGGCUCCGGGUCAUGAGCCCAGCCGCGUAGCUCCCUCACCCUGGUAGGGCUCCCUUCGAGAACUCAACUCCACCGUGCGUAGGCCCCACGGUGGACGCCAACUGUCGUGGUUUUCUCACGGCACAUGUCCUAGUGGAAGGACUUAAUGAUGGAGCCAUCGCAACUUGGUGGAGACUUAAAGGGGUUGAGUGGAAGCGGGACUCGGAUUUACCCAGGUUCGGCCCCUCGUGAGGAGGUAAAAGCCUACGUCCUGCUUUGUGUUGUAUUGAUGACGUUUCGAUUACAAGGAGGGCGUAACUCGCCUGACCUAGCUCUCGAUGAUUUCUAACCUCCCUCUCCUUUCCACGGACUCGCCUUUAUAUACAGGUCGAGGCCCUACGGUUUACAAGAGUCCAUGCCUUAAUACGAACCGUGAUUCUUUCUAUCUCUAAGUCGCCGGGCUUUCCAAGACUAGAAACCUCCUCAACGACUUAUCCUCUAUGUAGAUUUGGAACCGCCAUCCAGCUCCUGGGCCUUUUAGGCCAAAGCUUGCUUCGCCAAAGGAUGAGUCGCCCACUUAGUGACCAGGCCCAACUAGGGCGGGUCACACCGCAGGUAAUAUCCCCAACAGGUUUCGACUUGCUGACUUACUUAGCAGGAACAUUUCCUAAUUUGAGGAAGUACGACAUCAAGUUAAAUCCAGCUAAGUGCACUUUCGGCGUUCCUGGUGGCAAGUUAUUCGGUUUUCUCGUUUCCGAACGAGGGAUCGACGUUAACCCCGAGAAGAUUGACGACAUCGUCCGAAUGCAGAGCCCUGUGCGAGUGCAUGACAUACAGAAACUUACAGGAUGUCUCACAGCAUUGAGUCGGUUUAUAUCUCGUCUCGGUGAGAACCACUCCUACUAUACACUGCAACCACCAAUCAAGUCAUCAGUACAGUCCUGAAUGUCGAGAGAGAAGAAUAAGGUAAAGCCUACAAGGUUCAGCGUCCAGUGUAUGAUAUUUCAGAAGUGUUGAAUCCUUCGAAGCAAAGGUAUCCCCAUUACCAGAAGCUUCUUUAUGGAAUAUAUUUGACAGCAAAGAAAGUGGCACAUUACAUUCAAGAUCACUCCAUAUCAGUCGUCAGUGAUGCUCCGCUAUCAGAAAUUCUUAACAAUCGGGAUGCAACGGGCCGAGUGGCUAAAUGGGCCAUGGAGUUAUUACACUACAAGAAAUAAGGUCAAUUAUGACUCCGUAUAUUGGUCAUUGAUUCAUCAUUGUUGUUGUUUAUUGACUUUUUUUGACCAAAUUUACAACGACAACAGUUGGCCGUCAAGAAUGAAUAAACAUGACAUUUCUAAAAUUUUGGUUGCAGGUCUCUAUCGACCAAAAUUUUGGUUUGGUCAUUACCCAUUUGUGUGAGCCACGUAGGAUCUGACGUGGCAUUGCUAGUGACCAAAUGGAAUCAUCAUAAGUUUCAAAUCCAUGUCCACCAAUCUAGCUACAUGGGCCUGGCCAAAUACCUAUUUUACUAUUGAAAAUGUCUUAUUUGUUUGGGUUGAAGCAUUUUUUUGCUAGAAGCACGCAUAUCUCAGGAUAGGCACAUAAAAAUAAGUACAAUAAAAUAAAAGAUUGCAAAUAAACUGUAUAUUUCAUUUCAGUAGCAUAUCACAUCAAAUACAAUACAACAUCCAUCGACUCCACGCAUUAAGGUUCAACGCCUAACAAGUGAACAUCAAAAUAAUUUUACAUGUACACAACAGAAUACUUCUGCAAGUGCAAGUGCACAGAAAAAGGACCCAACAAAGGCACAAUCGCACAUAAAGAGAGUUCCACAAAGAUUGGAUGAGAACCACAAAUUUCUUCUCAUCCUCUUCCCUUGCACAAUAUGCUCUUGCCAUUUCCAC